UACGUAGGGGGCGAGCGUUGUCCGGAUUCAUUGGGCGUAAAGAGCUCGUAGGCGGCUUGGCAAGUCGGGUGUGAAAACUCCAGGCUCAACCUGGAGACGCCACCCGAUACUGCCAUGGCUAGAGUCCGGUAGGGGACCACGGAAUUCCUGGUGUAGCGGUGAAAUGCGCAGAUAUCAGGAGGAACACCGGUGGCGAAGGCGGUGGUCUGGGCCGGCACUGACGCUGAGGAGCGAAAGCGUGGGGAGCGAACAGG
RNAcentral lists this ribosomal RNA (254 nucleotides) under uncultured bacterium. Its description in RNAcentral is "partial 16S ribosomal RNA". It matches the Rfam family "Bacterial small subunit ribosomal RNA", at positions 524 to 776 of the family's 1533-position model. The record is from RNAcentral.